Molecule: long non-coding RNA, 2069 nt
Organism: Cyanistes caeruleus (blue tit)
Lineage: Eukaryota; Metazoa; Chordata; Aves; Passeriformes; Paridae
Source: Ensembl
CCCUUCCCACAGUUCUCAGCUGCUAGGAAUGUAUUUUGUGAAGGUGAACCAUGCAGUAGGCAACUUCUAAGACCAGAAGACGUGGCUGCCACCGGCAGCAGCAAUAUGUUGAUUUUGUCUGAAUACACGUGUGUGUUUUAAAGCCAUUGUGAGCCUGACACUUUGAUUGAGGCCCUUGAAAUUUUAUGUUUCAUGUAUUAAGAGACACUAAACAUUGUCUGUCUGUUCCUAUUAGAUGCCUGUUCAUUGGUCCAUAAUUUGCAGUAAGUUUCAUUUGGAUGGAAAAUGUAAUCCAAGCAAUUAUUUAGAAUUUUCUUUAAUUAGUUAGCAAUAUAUUUAACAUGCUGGAGAAAUAAGAUGACUAAAAUGUUUUGAUUAAGCCUGUUAAUGAAAUAAAUUUUUCUUGAUUAUUCGUGGUAGGUUCUAAUCCUGCAGGAUUUUAGCACUAGCACAUCUUACCACCACACAGUAUUUUUUCCACAUAAAGCAGGAAUGUCUUUUAUAUGCCAGUUAGUUAAAAUGUGGAUUAACAGUGUAUGUGAAGUACAGUUAAGAGAAUGAACUGAAACUAAGGAUUUCUUUGCAUUCAUGGAGAGCUGCCUGCUGGCUAUGGCAGGGUGAGCAGUUCAAGGCAGCUUUGGUUUUUGACAGUUUCUUCUGUUCAUUGACUUCAUCUGUUUCAGUGGUUUGGCUUUCCUUAAACUUCACCAGCAAACAUGGCCUGCUUAUGACUAUUCAUAACUAGAAUUGCUGAAGGAGUAAUAAAAAAUAAUGAUUUGAUCUAAGUAGAUUGUCACAAUUUCAAAUAUUGUUACAAAUUUUUUUCCCCCCCCAUAAAAACGCUUGAUUUCCAAAGGGAUAAAUGCAGUCAUGUGCUUGUCUGGGUGGGAUGUCUUAAAAUGCAAUUGCAGCAAUGCCUAAGCUCAUGUUUCAGGUUUUAGUCAUGUGCAGAAAAACUUCCACCUCUGCCCUUGUUCCAGCCCCAAGGGCUGACCAGCCCUGCCAGCAGGCACAGCUUGAGUCGUUCCAGCUAAACCACAGGAACAGCCACCUCCAGGCAAAAGCAUAGUUAUGCUUUCUGCUGCCAAAAAAUUCUGCAGGAAUUUACAGGAAAGAGGUAGGUGUUGAAACGUUACAAAUGCACUGGCUUUAUUCACCCUUGCUCUAAAUUUACUGUAAAGGACAAAACCCUUGUGAAUGGACACAUCUUCUUCCUCUCUUCCUUGUCUUUGCCUUUAUUAGGACUAAACAAUAUUCCUUUGGACAAGGGAAAGAAAGAGCAAGAUGACAGAGGGUGAAAGACCUCAAGCUGAUGCUGCAUAUGUUGAAGAUGCUGUCAUGGAGCCAUGGCCUGAGCUAGCCUGACUUGAUCUCAGACCAUUGUUGUAAACUGAACACAAAAUUCAUUGCUACCAUUGCCCUGUGGCUGGGAGGAGUGGAGGCUGGAGAAAAAUUAGGUUAAAAAUACCUUGUUAAAGGAAUUUAUGCAAGUUUUGAGGGGAUGAUUUGCCUUGCUAAGUUUUGUCUAGCUCUGUCAGUGAGUUUUUGUGUGCCCUGUGUAGUGGGGGUACCAACACUUCCCUAACUUUUUAGGCAGAUGCUGGUGGAAGCAGGGACUGAAGUGAGGCUGACAUGUUUUGUUUUUCUGUGUGCUGCUGGAUUUUGUUCAGUUGCAUGCUUUUUAAAUGGCACUGACGACUAAAUGAGGCAAUUGAUGGGAUAUCUCAGAAGGAAUUACAUGAAUCUAACUUGAAACCCCACAGAACCUGUAGCUUCUGGUACCUCAGACUGAGAUUUUAAUUCUCAUAAAAUUUUGUAAAAAUAGGGCUUUGUGAAGGGCAGAGUGUCAAAAUGCACUAAAUAUCAUGUUGAAGGUUUUACAUUAAAACUUUGAACUGUGUUUCUCCCCAGACCAGCUAGCUUUGUUGUAGGAUGUUGUGUGAAAGUCUUUGAGGCACACUUGUACAGGGUCAGCUCUGAAGGAAAACAUGUGCUGCUUGCUGCCAGUAAAGUAUAAUUGUCUGCUCCUUUGCCACUCCAGUCAGCCCAAAAAUUCUUCCAUCACCCCU